RNAcentral lists this unclassified non-coding RNA (336 nucleotides) under soil metagenome. RNAcentral's name for it is "partial contains 5.8S ribosomal RNA, internal transcribed spacer 2, and large subunit ribosomal RNA". The stretch from base 1 to 120 matches the Rfam family "5.8S ribosomal RNA", at positions 35 to 154 of the family's 154-position model. The record is from RNAcentral.
GAUGAAGAACGCAGCGAAAUGCGAUAAGUAAUGUGAAUUGCAGAAUUCAGUGAAUCAUCGAAUCUUUGAACGCACAUUGCGCCCGCCAGUAUUCUGGCGGGCAUGCCUGUUCGAGCGUCAUUUCAACCAUCAAGCCCCCGGCUUGUGUUGGGGACCUGCGGCUGCCGCAGGCCCUGAAAAGCAGUGGCGGGCUCGCUGUCACACCGAGCGUAGUAGAUCUCAUCUCGCUCAGGGCGUGCUGCGGGUUCCGGCCGUCAAACCACCUACAUAACCCAAGGUUGACCUCGGAUCAGGUAGGAAGACCCGCUGAACUUAAGCAUAUCAAUAAGCGGAGGA